This 437-nucleotide ribosomal RNA is filed under the name uncultured bacterium. RNAcentral describes it as "partial 16S ribosomal RNA". It matches the Rfam family "Bacterial small subunit ribosomal RNA", at positions 29 to 507 of the family's 1533-position model. The record is from RNAcentral.
AGCGAACGCUGGCCGCAGGCUUAACACAUGCAAGUCGAGCGGGCAUCCUUGUGGUGUCAGCGGCAGACGGGUGAGUAACGCGUGGGAACGUGCCCUUCGGUUCGGAAUAACUCAGGGAAACUUGAGCUAAUACCGGAUACGUGCGAGAGCAGAAAGGUUUAUCUGCCGAAGGAUCGGCCCGCGUCUGAUUAGCUAGUUGGUGAGGUUACGGCUCACCAAGGCGACGAUCAGUAGCUGGUCUGAGAGGAUGAUCAGCCACACUGGGACUGAGACACGGCCCAGACUCCUACGGGAGGCAGCAGUGGGGAAUAUUGGACAAUGGGGGCAACCCUGAUCCAGCCAUGCCGCGUGAGUGAUGACGGCCUUAGGGUUGUAAAGCUCUUUUCUCCGGGACGAUAAUGACGGUACCGGAGGAAUAAGCCCCGGCUAACUUCGUG